Molecule: transfer RNA, 103 nt
Filed under: Oryctolagus cuniculus (rabbit)
Lineage: Eukaryota; Metazoa; Chordata; Mammalia; Lagomorpha; Leporidae
Source: Rfam by way of RNAcentral
GCCGAAAUAGCUCAGUCGGGAGAGCGUUAGACUGAAGAUCUAAAGGUCCCUGGUAACUAGGGACCAUGAGCAAUCUUUGGAUUGGAAUUGACCCUUUGAGGUG